AGGGGAAUAUUGCACAAUGGGCGCAAGCCUGAUGCAGCCAUGCCGCGUGUAUGAAGAAGGCCUUCGGGUUGUAAAGUACUUUCAGCGAGGAGGAAGGCGUUGUGGUUAAUAACCGCAGCGAUUGACGUUACUCGCAGAAGAAGCACCGGCUAACUCCGUGCCAGCAGCCGCGGUAAUACGGAGGGUGCAAGCGUUAAUCGGAAUUACUGGGCGUAAAGCGCACGCAGGCGGUCUGUCAAGGCGGAUGUGAAAUCCCCGGGCUCAACCUGGGAACUGCAUCCGAAACUGGCAGGCUAGAGUCUUGUAGAGGGGGGUAGAAUUCCAGGUGUAGCGGUGAAAUGCGUAGAGAUCUGGAGGAAUACCGGUGGCGAAGGCGGCCCCCUGGACAAAGACUGACGCUCAGGUGCGAAAGCGUGGGGAGCAAACA
Molecule: ribosomal RNA, 427 nt
Filed under: uncultured bacterium
Lineage: Bacteria
Description: partial 16S ribosomal RNA
Rfam family: Bacterial small subunit ribosomal RNA
Source: RNAcentral